AGUUGCUAGGAUUAGACCCGAAACCGAGUGAUCUAGCCAUGGGCAGGUUGAAGGUGAGGUAACACUUACUGGAGGACCGAACCGACUAAUGUUGAAAAAUUAGCGGAUGACUUGUGGCUAGGGGUGAAAGGCCAAUCAAACUCGGAGAUAGCUGGUUCUCCCCGAAAGCUAUUUAGGUAGCGCCUCGGACGAAUACUACUGGGGGUAGAGCACUG
This 215-nucleotide ribosomal RNA is filed under the name Photobacterium damselae subsp. damselae. RNAcentral describes it as "partial 23S ribosomal RNA". It matches the Rfam family "Bacterial large subunit ribosomal RNA", at positions 698 to 912 of the family's 2925-position model. Lineage: Bacteria; Pseudomonadati; Pseudomonadota; Gammaproteobacteria; Vibrionales; Vibrionaceae. The record is from RNAcentral.